RNAcentral lists this ribosomal RNA (2900 nucleotides) under Klebsiella pneumoniae. Its description in RNAcentral is "bacterial LSU rRNA". It matches the Rfam family "Bacterial large subunit ribosomal RNA". The record is from RNAcentral. Lineage: Bacteria; Pseudomonadati; Pseudomonadota; Gammaproteobacteria; Enterobacterales; Enterobacteriaceae.
UUAAGCGACUAAGCGUACACGGUGGAUGCCCUGGCAGUCAGAGGCGAUGAAGGACGUGCUAAUCUGCGAAAAGCGUCGGUAAGGUGAUAUGAACCGUUAUAACCGGCGAUGUCCGAAUGGGGAAACCCAGUGUGAUUCGUCACACUAUCGUUAACUGAAUACAUAGGUUAACGAGGCGAACCGGGGGAACUGAAACAUCUAAGUACCCCGAGGAAAAGAAAUCAACCGAGAUUCCCCCAGUAGCGGCGAGCGAACGGGGAGCAGCCCAGAGUCUGAAUCAGCUUGUGUGUUAGUGGAACGGUCUGGAAAGUCCGACGGUACAGGGUGAUAGUCCCGUACACCAAAAUGCACAGGUUGUGAACUCGAAGAGUAGGGCGGGACACGUGGUAUCCUGUCUGAAUAUGGGGGGACCAUCCUCCAAGGCUAAAUACUCCUGACUGACCGAUAGUGAACCAGUACCGUGAGGGAAAGGCGAAAAGAACCCCGGCGAGGGGAGUGAAAAAGAACCUGAAACCGUGUACGUACAAGCAGUGGGAGCACCUUCGGGUGUGACUGCGUACCUUUUGUAUAAUGGGUCAGCGACUUAUAUUCUGUAGCAAGGUUAACCGUAUAGGGGAGCCGCAGGGAAACCGAGUCUUAACUGGGCGUUAAGUUGCAGGGUAUAGACCCGAAACCCGGUGAUCUAGCCAUGGGCAGGUUGAAGGUUGGGUAACACUAACUGGAGGACCGAACCGACUAAUGUUGAAAAAUUAGCGGAUGACUUGUGGCUGGGGGUGAAAGGCCAAUCAAACCGGGAGAUAGCUGGUUCUCCCCGAAAGCUAUUUAGGUAGCGCCUCGUGAAUUCAUCUUCGGGGGUAGAGCACUGUUUCGGCUAGGGGGUCAUCCCGACUUACCAACCCGAUGCAAACUACGAAUACCGAAGAAUGUUAUCACGGGAGACACACGGCGGGUGCUAACGUCCGUCGUGAAGAGGGAAACAACCCAGACCGCCAGCUAAGGUCCCAAAGUCAUGGUUAAGUGGGAAACGAUGUGGGAAGGCACAGACAGCCAGGAUGUUGGCUUAGAAGCAGCCAUCAUUUAAAGAAAGCGUAAUAGCUCACUGGUCGAGUCGGCCUGCGCGGAAGAUGUAACGGGGCUAAACCAUGCACCGAAGCUGCGGCAGCGACACUAUGUGUUGUUGGGUAGGGGAGCGUUCUGUAAGCCUGCGAAGGUGUGCUGUGAGGCAUGCUGGAGGUAUCAGAAGUGCGAAUGCUGACAUAAGUAACGAUAAAGCGGGUGAAAAGCCCGCUCGCCGGAAGACCAAGGGUUCCUGUCCAACGUUAAUCGGGGCAGGGUGAGUCGACCCCUAAGGCGAGGCCGAAAGGCGUAGUCGAUGGGAAACAGGUUAAUAUUCCUGUACUUGGUGUUACUGCGAAGGGGGGACGGAGAAGGCUAUGUUAGCCGGGCGACGGUUGUCCCGGUUUAAGCAUGUAGGCUGGUUGUCCAGGCAAAUCCGGAUAAUCAAGGCUGAGGUGUGAUGACGAGGCACUACGGUGCUGAAGUAACAAAUGCCCUGCUUCCAGGAAAAGCCUCUAAGCAUCAGGUAACAUUAAAUCGUACCCCAAACCGACACAGGUGGUCAGGUAGAGAAUACCAAGGCGCUUGAGAGAACUCGGGUGAAGGAACUAGGCAAAAUGGUGCCGUAACUUCGGGAGAAGGCACGCUGGUGUGUAGGUGAAGUCCCUGCGGAUGGAGCUGAGACCAGUCGAAGAUACCAGCUGGCUGCAACUGUUUAUUAAAAACACAGCACUGUGCAAACACGAAAGUGGACGUAUACGGUGUGACGCCUGCCCGGUGCCGGAAGGUUAAUUGAUGGGGUUAUCCGUAAGGAGAAGCUCUUGAUCGAAGCCCCGGUAAACGGCGGCCGUAACUAUAACGGUCCUAAGGUAGCGAAAUUCCUUGUCGGGUAAGUUCCGACCUGCACGAAUGGCGUAAUGAUGGCCAGGCUGUCUCCACCCGAGACUCAGUGAAAUUGAACUCGCUGUGAAGAUGCAGUGUACCCGCGGCAAGACGGAAAGACCCCGUGAACCUUUACUAUAGCUUGACACUGAACAUUGAGCCUUGAUGUGUAGGAUAGGUGGGAGGCUUUGAAGCGUGGACGCCAGUCUGCGUGGAGCCAACCUUGAAAUACCACCCUUUAAUGUUUGAUGUUCUAACGUUGGCCCCUUACCGGGGUUGCGGACAGUGUCUGGUGGGUAGUUUGACUGGGGCGGUCUCCUCCCAAAGCGUAACGGAGGAGCACGAAGGUUAGCUAAUCCUGGUCGGACAUCAGGAGGUUAGUGCAAUGGCAUAAGCUAGCUUGACUGCGAGCGUGACGGCGCGAGCAGGUGCGAAAGCAGGUCAUAGUGAUCCGGUGGUUCUGAAUGGAAGGGCCAUCGCUCAACGGAUAAAAGGUACUCCGGGGAUAACAGGCUGAUACCGCCCAAGAGUUCAUAUCGACGGCGGUGUUUGGCACCUCGAUGUCGGCUCAUCACAUCCUGGGGCUGAAGUAGGUCCCAAGGGUAUGGCUGUUCGCCAUUUAAAGUGGUACGCGAGCUGGGUUUAGAACGUCGUGAGACAGUUCGGUCCCUAUCUGCCGUGGGCGCUGGAGAAUUGAGGGGGGCUGCUCCUAGUACGAGAGGACCGGAGUGGACGCAUCACUGGUGUUCGGGUUGUCAUGCCAAUGGCACUGCCCGGUAGCUAAAUGCGGAAGAGAUAAGUGCUGAAAGCAUCUAAGCACGAAACUUGCCCCGAGAUGAGUUCUCCCUGAGACUUUAAGUCUCCUGAAGGAACGUUAAAGACGAUGACGUUGAUAGGCCGGGUGUGUAAGCGCAGCGAUGCGUUGAGCUAACCGGUACUAAUGAACCGUGAGGCUUAACCUU